UAUUAUCUCUUCAUAUCUAAUCUAAAAAAAAAAAACAUGGUUUAUUUUUCUUCUCCUUCUUCACUUGGGAUGAGUCUUGUCUUUGUAUUUAUGUUACUACUCAUACCUUCAAUAAAUCAUGUUGUUGAAGCUUGGCAUCCUACCGAACAUAUGACUAAUUAUGGAGGAGGAUAUUCCGGUGCCGGUGAGCACCAUAGAAGGUAUUUGGUGGACUGAAGUGGGCAAGACUAUGUUGGCCGGCCACCGAUCCAAGGCUUUUAUUCCGGUGAUCCUACUUUUGGUGAACCAAAUAUGAGAGUCAUGAACAUGCAAGGUGGAGACUCUUGUAAUGGAGGUUAUAUCCAAGAUCAUCCAAUGUCAGCUAUAAGAAGCCCUUUAUCAACUAGGGUUACAACAAAGACACAAGAGACAAUCACAACUCAGGUUAUUAUGGUUGAUACUGGAGUUAUGAUAACAACUAGCCGAGUUAAGACUGUGACUAUCAACGCUGCUCUUCAUGAUCACUAAACUUAAUUACAACGAUGCUUUCACAAAACUUAAUUAUAUAUAUUUUGAAUAAUACUUAAAGUCUAUAUCUUUUGAAUAAAUUGCGGGAUGAUAUUAAGUAUUAGAAUAUCAUUUCUAUUGCA
Molecule: long non-coding RNA, 629 nt
Organism: Dioscorea cayenensis subsp. rotundata (Guinea yam)
Lineage: Eukaryota; Viridiplantae; Streptophyta; Magnoliopsida; Dioscoreales; Dioscoreaceae
Exons: 2
Source: RefSeq, a predicted model, not a curated record